RNAcentral lists this ribosomal RNA (474 nucleotides) under uncultured bacterium. RNAcentral describes it as "bacterial SSU rRNA". It matches the Rfam family "Bacterial small subunit ribosomal RNA", at positions 54 to 512 of the family's 1533-position model. The record is from RNAcentral.
UCUGCAGUCGAGCGACGGACGAGAAGCUUGCUUCUCUGAUGUUAGCGGCGGACGGGUGAGUAACACGUGGAUAACCUACCUAUAAGACUGGGAUAACUUCGGGAAACCGGAGCUAAUACCGGAUAAUAUUUUGAACCGCAUGGUUCAAAAGUGAAAGACGGUCUUGCUGUCACUUAUAGAUGGAUCCGCGCUGCAUUAGCUAGUUGGUAAGGUAACGGCUUACCAAGGCAACGAUGCAUAGCCGACCUGAGAGGGUGAUCGGCCACACUGGAACUGAGACACGGUCCAGACUCCUACGGGAGGCAGCAGUAGGGAAUCUUCCGCAAUGGGCGAAAGCCUGACGGAGCAACGCCGCGUGAGUGAUGAAGGUCUUCGGAUCGUAAAACUCUGUUAUUAGGGAAGAACAUAUGUGUAAGUAACUGUGCACAUCUUGACGGUACCUAAUCAGAAAGCCACGGCUAACUACGUGCCAGC